AAUUUUUUCAAAUUGAUUUUGUUUUACUUUCGAUUGGACGUUUUCUAUUAUUUACUUCCAUUCAACGAAAAGCAUAGUCGAUUUCGUACUAUAUAACUGUUACUAAAAUUAAAUACCAAGUAAUAAGACAGCUCAACGCUUUCAAGAAUUCAAUUGGCUGGGUGCGAUGAAAAAUGUAGUUGUAAGGAAUCGUGGUUAAUUGGCAGAACUGGAUAGAUAUCGAGUGGUUUUAGCUAUUUAUAAGAAAAUGUUAUUCACGUAUUAUCUCUUUGCGGUUUUUAUUACACAGGAAUUUACGCUCUCAUCUUCUAGUUCAAGUGAAGAUGUCUCAAUUUCGAAAGAUUUAAAAUUGGAUACCUUAUUCAAACUUCCUUUAACUGACACCUCAGAUUCAACAGAGACGAAAAAAAGUAACUUUAAAGGAAUAUUAUCGGUGGUUAACGAAAAAGGAACAAAAGUACUACAUUGAUAAAUAUCGAAAAGAAAUGAGUCAAGAAGAAAAAGAUCAAGUGAAAUUCUACGAAAAUUUACUUCAACACAUCAAGGGAUUAAGUAAAAAAAUGUCUGUACGCAAAAUAUGAUUAAGCUAAUAAAUAAAUUGCAUCUGAAUUGAA
Molecule: RNA transcript, 614 nt
Organism: Maniola jurtina (meadow brown)
Lineage: Eukaryota; Metazoa; Arthropoda; Insecta; Lepidoptera; Nymphalidae
Exons: 8
Source: RefSeq, a predicted model, not a curated record